Molecule: ribosomal RNA, 460 nt
Filed under: uncultured bacterium
Lineage: Bacteria
Description: partial 16S ribosomal RNA
Rfam family: Bacterial small subunit ribosomal RNA
Source: RNAcentral
CCUACGGGAGGCAGCAGUGAGGAAUAUUGGUCAAUGGGCGAAAGCCUGAACCAGCCAAGUAGCGUGCAGGAUGACUGCCCUAUGGGUUGUAAACUUCUUUUAUGAGGGAGUAAAACGAGGCGCGUGUGCCUUUUUGCAUGUACUGUAUGAAUAAGGACCGGCUAACUCCGUGCCAGCAGCCGCGGUAAUACGGAGGGUCCGGCCGUUAUCCGGAUUUAUUGGGUUUAAAGGGAGCGUAGAUGGUUUGUUAAGGCUGGUGUGAAAGGUUGUGGCUCAACCGUUACAUUGCAAAUGAUACUGGCAGGCUUGAGUACGGGAGAGGUAAGCGGAAUUCGUGGUGUAGCGGUGAAAUGCUUAGAUAUCACGAAGAACCCCGAUUGCGAAGGCAGCUUACUGAACUGUGACUGACGUUGAGGCUCGAAGGCGUGGGUAUCGAACAGGAUUAGAUACCCUUGUAGUC